UACGUAGGGCGCAAGCGUUGUCCGGAAUUAUUGGGCGUAAAGAGCUCGUAGGCGGUCUGUCGCGUCGGCUGUGAAAACUCGGGGCUCAACUCCGAGCUUGCAGUCGAUACGGGCAGGCUAGAGUUCGGCAGGGGAGACUGGAAUUCCUGGUGUAGCGGUGAAAUGCGCAGAUAUCAGGAGGAACACCGAUGGCGAAGGCAGGUCUCUGGGCCACUACUGACGCUGAGAAGCGAAAGCAUGGGGAGCGAACAGG
This 253-nucleotide ribosomal RNA is filed under the name uncultured bacterium. Its description in RNAcentral is "partial 16S ribosomal RNA". It matches the Rfam family "Bacterial small subunit ribosomal RNA", at positions 524 to 776 of the family's 1533-position model. The record is from RNAcentral.